UGUCUCAAAUAAUGUAAAUCAAUGUCCUCGCCCAUAAAAAAGCGCCCAUGAACUUAUACUACUUUCAACAACCGAUCUCUUGGCUCUCGCAUCGAUAAAUAACGCAUCCAAAUGCUAUAAGUAAUGUUAAUUGCACAUUUUCAGUGAAUCAUCUAAUCUUUGAAUGCACCUUGCACUCCUUGGUAUUCCGAGGAGCAUGCCUGGUUGAUUGGCAUUACAUUCUCAACCCCGAAUCGAUUUGUUUCGAUUCGGGGCUUGGACUUGAAGCGUGCUGACUAAUGUCGGCUCCUCUCAAAUGCAUCAUGGGAAUUCAACCUUUGGCUUCCGGACAUCACUGUGAUAAUGACAUUGCUCUGUCCUCAAACCCUCCAAGUCCGCUUACGAAGGACUUCAGACAAAACCUUGCAUCAUAUUUGACCUCAAAUCAAGUAGGACUACCCGCUGAACUUAAGCAUA
This 456-nucleotide ribosomal RNA is filed under the name uncultured Piloderma. Its description in RNAcentral is "eukaryotic LSU rRNA". The stretch from base 60 to 214 matches the Rfam family "5.8S ribosomal RNA". The record is from RNAcentral. Lineage: Eukaryota; Fungi; Basidiomycota; Agaricomycetes; Atheliales; Atheliaceae.